This 242-nucleotide ribosomal RNA is filed under the name uncultured Actinomycetales bacterium. Its description in RNAcentral is "partial 16S ribosomal RNA". It matches the Rfam family "Bacterial small subunit ribosomal RNA", at positions 91 to 334 of the family's 1533-position model. The record is from RNAcentral. Lineage: Bacteria; Bacillati; Actinomycetota; Actinomycetes; Actinomycetales.
AUUAGUGGCGAACGGGUGAGUAACACGUGGGCAACCUGCCCUCAGCUCUGGGAUAACUCCAAGAAAUUGGUGCUAAUACCGGAUAUUCUUCUUUCACCGCAUGGUGGUUGGAGGAAAGUUUUUCGGCUGGGGAUGGGCCCGCGGCCUAUCAGCUUGUUGGUGGGGUGAUGGCCUACCAAGGCGACGACGGGUAGCCGGCCUGAGAGGGUGACCGGCCACACUGGGACUGAGACACGGCCCAG